GAAACAGCACCUGAUCCUAUUCAGGCAACUCUUCUCCCUCCUUUUAAUUCCAGUACUUUGAUGAGUGGGUUCAUCCCAACCCUGGUCUCAGCGGAGGGCACUGACCCAGGCCUGACGAAUCAAUCAUUCCAUGCCUCUUGGCUACCGUGAUUGGCACAGUACUCAGAGAUGGCACGUGUUCCAAGCCAGACCAGUGAGAGGCAACCACAGGAUGUUUGUGGGAACUCUGGUCCACAGAAUCUCUCUCAAGGGGGUUGGCACCUGGGAGGGUGGGAUGCCAUCUGGAACUGCUGGUGGUCAUUUACCAUGAUGGUGAGAGCUGACUGGUGGUGGCCAACUCUUGAUGAGUAUGUUUGAGCACCUGGAUCCGGCCAUGGCUGAAUCCACCUCGAAACUCCCACUUACAAGAAUCAACAAAUGGCCUUUCUUGGGUCCAUGUGUUGGAGUAGAUUACUGGUCACUUGCAGCUGAAAGCAUGCUGGUGCUAAGGAAUGUGAAUACUCUAAACAAAGUCCCCUGCCCCUUGGUUCCUGCUCACCCUACAGGGAUUUUUGGGGAGCUGAAUAUCCAGUCCAAAGUCAGAGGAAGGACAUAUGCUCAAGGGGCACUCAGUUUCCAAGUCUCAGGGAGCCAGCACCUGAGUCUCAGUCUUGCUUUCAGACAAGAUGUCGUCCUGAGAAUCUUUCUCCCUCAUCAGUGCAGUUGCCGACCUUUGAGCCUGACUCGUCAGGGUCCAUUCUCUCUACACAUUUAUCCAACCAUCACAUGUUUGCUGAGCAUCUACUUUCUUUCAGGCACGGGCUGGGCACAGAACUUGCAGGGAUGAUGAUGUUUCCAGGUCAGCCCGGAAAAGCCAGUGCAGCCAGUCAGACGUUUCUAGAAUGGUAGACUGCCAGGUAUGGAAACAUUCUUUAUACUUAUUCACUUAAAAGUUUUGUUUACUUAAACAGUUGCAAGAAUAUUUAAAUCUACUGCACAUUUAAAAACCCAGAUAGGUAGCCAGAUUGUACUACGCUAGUCAUGAAAGGCAACUGACAAAAAAGAAGAAACACGUGCAAUAAAUCUUUUCAUUGGUUUUGGGGGCUGGUGUUAUUGGGAGAGACAGAGGGACAUUUCCACAGGGGUUCCGAUGGCAGUGCUAUCUGUUUAAGGCUUUGCAUGUUGAUGACACAAGUUCCUUUGAGGACAAGUUUCUUUCGAGAUGUUGAUAUGUCUCGGUGGGUGCCUGGAACCUUCCUCUCCUGGCAGCCUCUUGCUGAUUGUGCCACACCAGAUGCCCCGAGUUAAAUGAUGGGCUAUGUCGAGACCAAAUAGCGAAGCCCAGUGCAGAUCCAUCAACUCCACGUUUAGCACAACACUUAGUAGGAGAAAUUCAACUUUAAGCCUGAAAUGCAGGUCACAAAGUUGGUCAAGAGGACGAGAAGCAAAGCGGGCAAGCGGAAUUGAGGGCAGGGUCUCCCGAGGGGAGUCUGUGCAGUGCUGGCCUUUCCACGCUUUGCAACAGAAGGGCUCUGUUCCGGAAGCACCUUCUGUGCGGCCGCUCCUCGGCAAUUUGCAUGGGACACUAGCGGGUUGAAAGUUCUGAAACGUCCUGUGUGGAAGAAACAAACCUGUGCGCUCUGCUUCAGGCAGUGUUUCCCCAACCACUGAACUUUGUGGGUUUUUUUUUUUUUUUUUGAGUAGCAGCUAUUUGUAUCCACAUUCUAGAAACGCUUGCUUAAAUGUUACAUUGUCUCAUGUUCCUGGAUACACUUAGCCCUUCCACAGGAGGGACAAGGGCCGUGUGCGCAUGUUCACCAGCAUGUAUGUGGUCAGGCUGGUCCACUCACGGGAGCAACGAUGGGAGGGACAAGAAAUUCGGCAUGGUCCGGAUUGCCUUCUUGGGAGUGGUGCUGCUCAGGCUGUUUCAGAGUUCCCGCUGGCCUUCCUGCGCUCCGCUUGCCUCACCCCUGCGUACCUGCCGUAGCCAGCAUGUGUGCGCGGUGCAGGUGGAGAGAGAGAAGACGAAGUCCGAGAGGCCCCCAGGCUCUCUCAGACAUGGGGAGACAGACACACAGCAAGAAGUUUGAGGACAAUGUGACACGUGAAAUAAAGGCGUGUUGUGAGUAGUUUGGGGAUCACGAGAAGGAGGCCCCUCUCUUUGAAAGAACUGAGGCUAGUUUUGUCUGAAAGGGGAUAGAUGAAUUGUGUCUUAAAGGUUGAAUAGGAGGUUAUCAGGCAGAGACAAGAGUUGGGUUGGGGACACAUUCCGGGGGCAAUGAUCAGGGACAUGUUUUGGGGGCAUAAGAUUCUGAUUCCAACUCCAACAUGCUUUCAACACCAAGCAAGUCCCCCACACCAGCAGGGGGUCCUACAAUUCAACUCAGUUCUGACACUGUCCACUUGGAGAGAGCGUCAGAUUCCAGAGGUUAAGGGUUCAGUCCCACAAGAUCGCCCUUCUCUGCAGUCGCCAACCGCAAGUCCGGGUUGUCACCUGUGCUUCUGAGCCACCGGCUAUAAAUCAGUGGUUCCUGCAACCCCCCUUUGAGUUUGAUUAAUUUGCUAGAGCGGCUCACAGAACUCCAAGAAACAAUUUACUUACCAGACGAGAGCCAGCUGGAAAAGCUGCCCGGGGCAAGGUGGGGAAGGGGCGGAGCUCCCACGCCCUCUCCAGCCUCGCCACUCUCCUGGGAUCUCCACGUGCUCACCAGCUGGAAGCUCUCUGAACCCCUCAGUUUUUGGGUUUUUACGGAGGCUUCCUUACUUAGCCGUGGCUGAUUAAAUCAUUGGCCACUGGUGAUGGGUUCAGCCCCCAGCCCUUCUCCCCUCCCCACAAGUCUGGGGGUGGGACAGAAAGUGCCAACCCUCCAAUCACAUGGCUGGUUCCCCUGGCAGCCAGCCCCCUCCAUGGUGCUUUCCAAAAGUCACGGCAUAAAUGUAAACUCAGGUGUGGGUGAAAGGGCUUUGUCGUGAAUAUCAAGACAGCUUUAUAGCUCUUAUCACUUGGGAAACCCCAAGGGUUUUAGGAGCUCUGUGCCAGAGACAGGACGAAGACUAAAUACAUGUUUCUUUUUACAAAUCACAGUAUCACAGGGAGUCUGAUCUGAAGGGCUUCCAUCCUGGGCUGACGGACACGGAAAGUGAGUGCUGACAGUCUGCUCUGCGCUUUCCCAGAGAGAGUCCCCAGGAGCAAUAUGUAAUCAUCUAAUUAAAACAUCAAUUCUCAGCUGGAGAGAAGGAUGGAAAGAGGACAGGGGGAUGAUAAAGCAAGCACAGUCACGUGUCCACACAGACUCUCGGGGCGCACACAGGUGGUCACUGGAGAAAGCCUUUCAGCUUUGCCGUGUGUUUGAAAAUCCUUAUAGAUAAAUAUUUGGGAGAAUAAACUCUUAAUUUGAAUUUAUUAUUUCCUUCUUUCUUUUGCAAUGCCCAGUUUUUCCUAAGCCUCUCUUUGAUUAUUCAAGUUGCCAGCACCCGGGCAAUUACUUCCUGCAAACAAGUUGUCAGAAGGCGCAAAUAAAUUUUAGACCUAAUUUAAUUCUCAGUUUACUUGCUCAUGAAAAAAAAAAUCUUAAUUUCUCCAAACCACAUCAACCCUUGAUAUGCCAGUUAUGAUUUCUUUUCAAAAGCCGGCUGUGAAAUGCUAAGCCAAUCACUCAGAGACGGUCUGACUGAAUGAAUGACGGCUGGGGAAAGAAGGCCAUGUUCAGAGCAUCCGGGAUGAACGGUGGGUCCCAAGCACAGAUCAAGGGGAGCCAGAGAGGGUGUGUGGGGAUAAAGGGAGAGCAGUGACGGUCAGAAGCCAGCUACUCCAGAAAGGAAGGAGAAAGUGGGCCCUGGUUAUGGUGGGGUUGAGAUAUGGGGUGCCCGGGAAAUGUGGCCAAGGACCCUGACACUCUAACCGCUUUCUGAAAUGUGAAGAUCUCUAAGGAAACCAGCAGGCGGGAGUUGGAUCAAUGCAUUCCUGUGCUGUAGGUGGGCAAUACCUGGAAACAUUACCAAUGCCUCCAAGACUCCCACCAGCAUCGUGUGUGGGGGGACCCACCAGAAGGGAGGCUCCCAGCUCACAUCCCUCACUGCUCCCUGAGAACCACCCACCAGCCUGAUUGGGCCAGGGGCAGACACCUGUCAUGCUGGGCCAGUUCGAGCCUCUCUCUGUACCUAACAUCUGGAUUGGCUGGAGAAACUGAGGCACAGUGUCGUGAGUUGAACUGUGUGCCCCUAGAAGUUACAAAUACACCCCGGUAUUUGUGAAUGUGACCAUACUGGGAAAUAGGGUCUUUGCGGAUAUAAUGAGUUAAGAUCAGGUCAUAGUGGACCAGGGUGGGCCCUAACUCAGUGACUGGUGUCCUUAUAAGAAGAGGUUAAUUUGGACACAGACACACGGAGAGGAGACUAUCGUGUCACGAGGCACAGACACACAGAGGGAGGAAGGCCCCUGAGGCAGGACUGGAGCGAUGUGCCUACAAGCCAAGGAGCCCCCAGGACCGCUGGCACCACCAGAAGCUGGAGGAGGCGAGGAAGUCUCCUCCCCUAGAGCCUUCAGAGGGAGCGUGGCCCUGCAGCGUUCUUAAUCUUCGAUGUUUAGCCUCUAGGAUUGUGGGAGAAGACACUUCUGUGUUGUUGAGACACCAGUCUGCAGGGCUUGGUUACGCAGCCCAAGGACAGGAAUUCACAGAGUGACAGUGGAAGCGCAGAGGGACCCAGCUCAGCCUCAAGUCUGACUGACAGUAUUAACAUCACUGAUAAAGAACAGAGAAGUCCUCAAGAGGAGGUCCAGUGGUAGGUGGGCAGACGUCAUUCAACUUUCAAUGACGGUGUCAAGGACCCAGGCUCCUUCUGUCUUUGUGUCUUUCCAGUCCACUGUUUCAGCCGCACGCUUGCCACCUCAAGGUCAAAGGAGGGCUCUCCAGCACUGUCCGAGUGCAAGCAAGACACAGGGAGAAGAGCAAGUGCUGGUGGCGUCUGUCCCUUUUACUAGGAAAGCAAAAGCUGUCCUCAGAGCCACUGGGCAGAUUUUCAGUGACUUCUCAUCAAUGAGCAUUGUGGCAAACGGCUACAUCCAGGAAGUGGAUGUGCGAGGAAAGCUGGAAAAGAGCACAUCUAGCAUUUCUGCCUCUACACUGGAGAUGCCUUAGUUCCUACCGCAGCCAUGACAAAUUCCCAUAAACCAGAGGGGCUUGAAACAGCAGCAGUGUAUUCUCUCACAGCUCUGGAGCCUGGAAGCCCCAAACCGAGUUGUCAGUGGGGUGGGUUCCUUUUUAGAGGCUCUGAGGGAGAAUUUCCUCCUUGCCUCUCUCCCAGCUUCUGGUGGUUGCCAGCAAUCCUUGGCUCCUAGACACACCCCUCCCAUCUCUGCCUCUGUCGUCACAUGGCCUUCUCCCCGUGCCUCUUCUUCAAAGGACUCCAGGCACUGGGUUAGGUCCCAGCAUAAUCCAUCUAGACCUCAUCUUUGCUUGAUCACAUCUGCAAAGACCCUAUUUCCAAAGAAGGUCACAUUCACAGGUGCUGGGGGUUAGGACUUCAACACAUCUUCUGCGGGGACACAACUCACCCUAUGACACAGGUGGACAGGGAGAGAGGGUUUGGGGAGGGGUGUUGGGUUGGUCCCCAGGUGUGAUGCUUGGAGAUAUUGUGUCAAGAUGAGGGAGAAAGCAAGAGAAGCAGGGAGCGGCCAGCCUGGAGUGCACGGGACAGAGUGGAGCCGAUACAGGAAGCGUGCCCAGAACCACCUGCCCCUGGACUGCUCAUUUUACGAGGUCACUAAGUAGCCUUACUGCUUAAGCUGUUUUUAGCCACUGCUUGCAGCUGAAGGUAUUCUAAUUCUUUUUAUGAUUGAAAUAAAAUGUUUGAUCAUAAGUACUUGAACUCAGUGCCUCGAUUUUGGGCUUAAAUGCUUUUCUUUCUACCAAUCAGAGGAAAAAAAAGCUCCUGCCUUAAUUAUUUCCUUCAGGAAGGAUGAAUUAAAAAAUAAAUGACUAACUUGUUCUUUUUCAAAACAGCAAACACAAUUUCUUUUUAAGUACAGGAAACUAUGUUUAAAACCCUCCAAAAGUUCUUUUAAAAUGUAAUUUUAGGGGUUGGCCCUGUGGCACAGAGGUUAAGUGUGCACAUUCCACUUCGGCAGCCUGGGGUUCGCAGGUUUGGAUCCCGGGUGUGGACAUGGCACCACUUGGCAAGCCAUGCUGUGGCAGGCGUCCCACAUAGAAAGUAGAGGAAGAUGGGCACGGAUGUUAGCUCAGGGCCAGUCUUCCUCAGCAAAAAGAGGAGGAUUGGCAGUAGAUGUUAGCUCAGGGCUAAUCUUCCUCCAAAAAAAAAAAAAAGAAUAAAAUGUAGUUUUACAGAUAUCUUUCUUGUUACUGACACAAGUUAAAUUAUAUUUCGAUACAUUUAUGUGUUACAGAAUUAUCACCUCACAGCUUAACCCUGCUGUGGGAAUAGAAAAAAACUGUGCCCAGAUUAAAAGAACACACUUUCCUGAAAAUAAAGAUAAAUGAACUAAUAAAUGACUAGUUUUUAAUAAAUAAUCUCCUUAUUGGAUAACUUAUCUUUCUGGUAAAAUAUUUACCGUGCUCUCUAACGCCUUUUAAAUCAACUGAAACACUGAGAAAGCUUUAAAUGAUUCGAUAUCCUUUUGCGGCUUAAGAGUUGAAAUGGUGUUUUAUUGAAGUACAUUUUAAUAAGAAGCAAAUUGAUUUGAAGUGAUUCAAGUUUCGCGCAGUGAGGGCUCUUCAGGCUGGGCUCCUUGGGCUGGAGGGUGAACCACCAUUUCACGGGGCCGCAAAGGUCACGCUCUGCCCCGUGCUAGGAUGUUCUGGGUAACUAGGAACCAAUUGCUUUUAAGCUACCUUAGGACUGGCCCAGGCCUGAGUGACUCAGCAUGACAACAUCUCCUGUGCUGCCUCAUUUCUCUGUGCAGUGUUUUCCUGGGUAGGAAAUAACAGACAAAAAUAAUCAACUGGGGAAUUAAUUGAAAACACGGAUCCACAGCCCCUGCCUCAUAUUUACUGGAUCAGGAUCCAUGAAGGAGGAUCUGGAAAUCUGCAUGUCAAUCAAUGUCCCGGGGGCUUCUGAUGUUUAGAGUCAUCUGACCCACAAAGCUAUUGGACAACCAGAGUUGACACCCAAGGCCCUGGUUCUCACAGGUGAGCGAGGGCAGAACCCCCUGGUGGUAAAACCCAGGCUGCCCCACCCACCCAAGCACCUCUGGUUGGGUGGAGCUGGGAGGGGCUGGGAACCUGCGUUUCUAACAAGUUCCCAGGUGCUGCUGGUGCUAUUGGCCCAGAGGGGUGGGAGUGGGGCCACAUUUUAAGAACCAUUGCCAUUAAGCCAUUAUCUCCUAGCCAAAAAAAAAUUUUCCUUGAUAUAAGUUUUGUUUUAAAUCCAAGGCAGAAAAAUUACCCAUUCUCAGACCAAAAUAUGGAAAACAAAUCUGAGUAGAAUGAAUAUCGUUAGAGCUUUAGUGAUUCUGGCCGAAUGCCAUUGCAAACCUUUCCCAACAAAGACCAAAUACAGGGUCAUCGAAAGAAGGUAUGAAAUCCCAGAGAACAGUUGUCAGUUCCCAACGAAGAAAACGCUUAACAUCUCGACGGCGUUACAUCCAGCAGAAAGCAGACAAAUUACCACACCAAUUUAGUUUCAAAGAAUCCUCACCCAGUCUAUUAUAUUACUUCAUACCAAAGAGAUUCCUCAAGUUCUGAAUUGGCCGGAUAGUGACUUGUUAAGGCAUUGCUAACGAAUCUUGUCCAUCAUGGUUCUCGAAUAUGGAUUAGCUUGGACGAACCCAAGACAUUUCUGGCAGAGCUCAUGGUGAGGAGAAAACGUUCUCAGUAAGUGACUCCAGAAAUCCCGGCCCACCUGCGCCAGAGGGGUCCUGCAGGGUCUGCUUUUCAUUACGGGGAAGGCGAAGUUGGGUCGCAGAUCACCGUUAAACCUUGUUCGGGUUUGAGGAAAUGAGCUUGACCCACUAAAAGACUCGUACCAUAUUUCCUUUAAUGAUGCUGGCAAAGUGUCUGUUUCAUCUAAUCAACCUCUCAGACGAAGGAUCUGAUAGAGGGUCUGGCCACAGUGACGAGGGCUCAGACCCCAGCAGUGACCUGCGGUAACGACAAACCUUUUUAAAAUUCUGGUAGCAAGACAGCGUGAUUUUGACAGCUGUUUUCAAAAGUUUCUUUCCCUUUAAGAUUCUUAAUUAUGGGCCCGAUGAACACAGGUUGUAACUGAGGAACAUCUGAGCCUGGCUCACAUUAGCCUGUCUGCCUAUCCAGGGGAAAGGCUGAUUUCUUUUUAAGACGUGGUUUGCAGCCUCUCCAGCUUUGCACUCUGUGUACCCAGCCAGUUCCAGACUUCUGCUCCAUGAAGAAUUUGGGCCCGUCCUUGGCUGCAAUAGGAUUUUGGAGCAGAAUCAGUCAAGUGGUCUUAUAUUUCCAGGAGAAUGCAUCAUUAAAAGAAACAACCAUAUUAUUUAAAUUUCCAGAAAUGACUCUUCUGAUGAUAAUCCAUAGCCCACCAAAAUUAACUGGGUUUUCUUCUGCAUAACAGGCCUUUAGUUUUAACGUAUUUAAUAUUUAAAGUUUCUUUCUGGAAACGCUCACUGAGUUUUGAUGGCAACUUCGACAGGCCUGUAAAAGGUAAGAGGUAAUAAAACAUAGCAGUGGCUUAAGAAUGGAGUUUUUGAAGGCUGCUUAGAGGGCGAAGAAUUCCAGCUGGAGAACUUUCUGAUAAUGUCAACAACCUUCGAGUGUGUGGGGAAGUUAAUGAGACGAUGCAGGUGAUAGCACCUCGCCGGGCCCAGGCAAUCAGAAACGUCACGGACAUCUGAAGUUGAAUCUGGUUAACAAGACGUCACCUGUCAGGGCAUCAGAAACGUUUUCAUUCUAACAGUGGUGGCACCAUCCAGUCGUUGAAGCAAAAAUGACACAGGAGUUGAACUGAAAGCCAGAUAUCGUGUGCGGGUCUCGACUGCCCAAGUCGGGGGCCUCAGCUGGGCUGACGGAAGGUUGGCAGAAUCCUAAUUUCCUUGGCGGAUUCCGUCAUCUGAUGAGCAGCAGUAGACAGACCUUCUCAAACGCACUUCCCACUGGACUGCACGAGCGGGUGUGAAACAAACCCCGCCGUCCGGGUCCCCCUGCAGGGAUUUUGAUGCAGUGGCUCAGGGUGCUGCCUGAUCACGAGGGCUUUCAGACGUUCCCCAGACAUUAGGCUCCUAGGCGUGGGUUGAACCACGAAUGGGUUAAGCUGGGGUUUCUCCACCUCCUCCGCGCUAUUGGUAUUCGGGGCCAGGUAAUUCUUUGUUGGGGGGGGGGGUGUCCUGUGCAUUGUAGGAUGUUGAGCAGCAUCCCUGGUCUCGACCCACCAGAUGCCAUUAGCACCCCCACCCCACAGGUUGUGACGUCCAGAAGAUGAGGCUCACAGGGCUCAGCCUAUCUCGAGGGGCCUGUGGCCUUGCUGGGAAUUGUUCGGGGCUGGGGCGUUUAGGCACAGGGAGCGGAAGAGGAACACCUUCAGGAAACGUUUUCCUCAUGCUUAAAACAGAUGAAAGGAAAGGAGAAAGCUGUCCUUUCUGUGGGACACACCAAGAUGAACACGGCUGGAUCCUUGAUGGUUGUGCGGGUGUGGAGUUCACACUCCCAGCCGCCUCCCUUUGGACUCCCUGCUGUGGGAAACCGCACGGCCCCCUCUUGCUGAAGAUGGGGCUGUGCUUUCCAUCCCUGGCAGCUAAAUGCUUCUGAACUGCUCUAUCCUGGAUUCAGGCUGUUUUUAAUUACGAGGAAACAGUACUUGUCCCUCUUUGGAAGGCGGACAUUUUGCCACUGACCGAUAUGAAUGAUUGGUCAACAUAUGUCCACAAAGUAGGAGAUUAUAAAUACACAGCCAAGAUCAUCACCACGGAGCAGGGUAGCAUCUUUGUGACGCGCACGGAGUUUGCGUAAGUGGUACAUAAACAUGCUGUGGCCUUGCUCAAGGAGAGAGCAACAGAAUAUUACAUCUCACCAGCGGGGGCUAGGGGCCCACGGAAGCAGAUGGUCGGAAUCCAUCAGCUAUGAAUCGAAUCCUGGGCGGGUGUCUGAGGAACCUCCAGGCAGCUCUCGGUGAAAGCCUCGACGUGUGAGGGCAAAGCAUCAGGGUGGAUUCGUGCCUGACAGAGUCAACCUGACUUAGAGAAGCAAACUCCUCUCCUAUUUCCAAAGGGGUCUGUGGGGGCGACACAUCCAGUCACAAGCCCUCUGGUUUGUUUGGGGCCGUGACCCACGUCCCCUCACCACCACCUUCAUUCAUUGAAAGGAAUUUUAAACAGGCUGCGACUGAAAGCAGACUUAUCAGUAACAGGAGACUGUGAUUCGGGUGACGGCUGCAUGGGCACCUUUGUAAGACUUCUGCACUCAUCCUUUUUUUUUUUUGAAAAAAAAAAGUGAGCUGACAAGAAGGUAGGCAAAUAGGUCACUGCCGGAGGGGCUGGAGUCCCCCAAGGUGAGUCUCAAGGGAUCAUUUUUGUGAGAGACACGAUGGGGGUGUGAGCAGGGAAGCGAACAGGAAAACGAGUGGCUGGAAUUGCCUGUGGUUCUGUCGGGGCAAACAUCUGAGAAACUGAACUGGAUUUGUUUCCACAGUCGUUCUCAAAUAACUUACCCAGGGAAAAAAGAGAAAGACUAGUCCAGGAGCACAUUUUCUACCAGCCCUGCCCGAAAGAUUUUAAUUCUGAAUAAAAUCCACAUCAACAAUGUUUAUUUAAUUUAGGUCAUGUUUAAUUAAAAACGCAAAAUCAGCCUUUUGAAACUAAAUUUCUAGAUCCACCGAGGUCGAGGGUUGAUGAUUCCCAGAGGGCCUGGACAGGAGGAUUCAGAAAUCUGAGCUCUCAGAAAGGCGGGACGGAGUGUGAGCGCUGCAGUGGGACAACUGGGGGCAGACGCCCAGGCUUGGCUUCCAGCUGUGUGACCUCCGGUGACUAUCGCCCACCCUUGGGUUCCUUCUGUUCACACUGGGAUGGAUCAGAUAAAAACCUAACUCAGGGCUGUCGUGAGGAUAAGUCAAUAUACACAAAACGCUUAGCCCAGCACAGUGGUUUCCAAUAAACGCUUUCACAGGUGCUGGCCAUGACUGUUAACUGCGGCCAGUUAAUCUUCAGGGUUAGCUCAGACAACACAUUGUGCAAAUGCCUCUAUUUUAAACUAAUUAAAAACACAUAAACUACCGAAUACAAAAAAAGAGGAACAUAAUUAUCUCUAUAGGAAACCUUCAACGUACAGACUGUCCAAACUGUUGAUUUCAAGUUGAUUGUUUGGAGGACUCUGUUCCCAUGGCAACAGUACUCCAAGUGCUCUCAGCAGUCCAACAACUCACAAAGGCACCUUCACCUUUAGGUACCGGAAAUACCGUGUGCUGGUUCUGAUAAGGUCAACCGUGGUAGUCCUUGACUAGAAAUGAAACCACAGAAAAACAAAAUUGCUAAGCAAAUAAGAUUAAAAUCCUUUCAAGUCCUGCGGCCCAAAGGAAAGGAGAAUGGACUAGAGGCCGAACGAGGAAGCUGCCGGGCCUCUGGGCUUGGGGCUGCGCUUGGCACAAGCGCCUCCACACAGGUUGUAUUGACAGGCCUCAGAAGGAUCUUUAUUGGUCUUUAGAUGAAUGAAAAAUAGCUGGAGACUAAAAGAGGCAGACAGGUUUUCCUGCUCAAAAAGAUGAGGCCUGGAAGUGGAGAGAGGCAAGGCGGCCCCGUGCAAACACAGGCCGUGGGCAGGUCUUCGAGGAGCGGGUCUCAGGGAGCAGAGGCUCCAGGACAAGGAGGGCGAGUGCGACCCAGGGCAGCAUGGGGGGCAGUAGCUUCUCUUUGGUGGGCCCAGGUGGUGCCCAAAAGGCUGAGACUGGCCCGAGGCUGUGGCAGUGGGAGGCCCCCACGGAACCCAGCGAGCGUCCACGCUGCUCACCCACAAACCGAGGGCCUCACCAGGGUCCUAAAGCCCGUUUCACACGAGGCCCUGCCUGCAGGUUUGAAGGAGGGGUCAAGUGGGUCCGUGGCAACAAGGGCCUUAAUAAAUUGAACGCAAAGCUGUUUAUUGGAUUCCUUUACCGGUAUCUCCCCGUGGGUAUUUUACACCACACUAGUUCAAUGAAAUGUUAAUUAGGUCCUAAGUAUAAAAAAAGAUUCUUGGUCAAAUAACUAGGAAACUGGCAGGUGAGAAAGUUAAAUCACAUUUCCCCACUCCGGGACCUGGCCCUUUAAUAUGCUAAUUUGCAUCGUGAAUUUCCAUGAAGUCAGUCUAGUGCUCAGCAACUUUUCUAAACCCAAGUGACCACCAACCCUCCUUUCUCGAGCUUCUGCAGGGACAAGUGUUCUGGGGAACAUUCUUGGCGGUUUGCUCCCGGACACGGACACGUAAGACAGCAGCUCUCCUUCGCUCUGGGUCAGGGCAAACCCCGCAGUCACCGGCGCCUGUCACCGGCCCCUCUUCUCCAAACAGGCCUCCACACACGCCUCC
RNAcentral lists this long non-coding RNA (12452 nucleotides) under Equus caballus (horse). RNAcentral describes it as "lncRNA (ENSECAG00000046617.1)". Lineage: Eukaryota; Metazoa; Chordata; Mammalia; Perissodactyla; Equidae. The record is from RNAcentral.